UUGCAGGCAGCAUAAGGCCAGUGGCAAAAGUACAUCUCACAAGAACCAACCGGCUUCAGGUGUGGAUCUCACUGUUGUUAUCAUUGUCUGUUAUCACCCUGCAGCUUAGUGAGGCACGAGCCAGAGCAGCUUGAAGUCUCAGGUGAUUUGUGUUUGCAAUGCAUUUUGAAGGCGUAUCUUGAGCUCUGGGUGAGGCUUGAAGGCACACACCAACCCUGCCAGGUGGAAGCUGAAAAGUGAUCCUUACAAUUGCUGUCUCUAUAGGAGUCACUGGACUGUCAGAAUGGAGAGGAAAGGAUAGGAAGGUACAGGCUGAGGGCAACACUCCUAUGGACACCAUUCCUCUUCAAUGCCAGGGUUUGGUCUAUUUAUCUAGGACAGUGCAUGUACUAGGAUAGCCAUGCAGAAGAGUCAGACCUCCAAAGCUGAGGCAGAAAUAAGGAUUUUGUCAUGAAACACACCUAAGCAUAGUCGUGUGUGGCUGGUAAUAUGUGGAAGAUGCUGAUGCUGGGAGUCUCGUCUGUCUGGGUUGUAGUUUCUGAAACACAAUUGCAGUUAAAAUGUUCAGCAGUGGUGUUGCAAAGGUGUGGAAGGCUUAGGUACUAUGUGUAGGAUUCAUUGUGCCACUCAUUGACAAGCCAAUGAAUCUGAGGUUCUCCUUACUAUCCAUGGAAAGCAAGGUGCUUUUGUUUACUGCCUGUGCAGGUCCGGACCUUGCCUUGGGUACGCAGUGGGGACUUGCUGAGAGAGGACAUGAGUGGAGAUGAGGAGCUUUUGGAAUAACAUGAAGAAGAGGUGCUGCCACAGCCACAAAGUGGGUCUAAUUUGUGUACUGAAGGAAGGAGCUGUGUGGGAAAAUACUGCCUGAUCAGACAAUCCAAACCAUGUCUGCAUAAUUCUUGUAUGUAUGGGAGAUGCAUUAAGCUAUCAAAGGUAAUUUUAAAUUAGUGUUUUCUAACGUUUGUGUGCCUGUUCUGCCAAGCUUAUUAGUAUUCCUUCAAAGAGGGGGUUUGAUUUGUUUUGGAAUAAAGAUUAUUUAUUCUAAUUAUGCAUAGGAAAUAGCUAGUUCUAUUUUUCUUACAAAAUAUUUUUGCAAAUAAUAGAGUGCCCUUCUCUUGACAUUCCUCUGCAACUUGGGUUCAGCAUUUAAAGAUGAUAAAUGGGCAUCAAGCUCAGCAUUUCUACCACCUCCUACCUGCUUUGACUCUUGUUUCAUUAGAAUUUCAGCAAUGUGCUGGUUCAUGGCAGAUAACCUCCUCUCCCUCUCCAGAGUGCCUGUGAGUGUGUAGGGGGUGAGGGAAUGGGUGCAUUUCUCAUCUCCUCAGCAUUUAUUACAUUCCUUUUUCUCUACCUCCUCUGCAGCAAUAAAUCAAUGCUACUUGUUAUUGUCUACUACUUGGGCAGCGUCUCGGGGGGAGAGGCAGACUCUCCUGACUAUAAUGCCAUGUGUUUCAUCAAAUGCUAAAACAGAGACAAAUAUCCAGAGUAAACCAGUCUUGUUUUUGCAGCUUUUGAGGGGAAGGAUCCUAUCCAAGUCCUGCCAGCUGCAUCACCCAUCAAGACACUUUGUCACACAGGCUGCAGUUACCAGCCCCAGCCUUAAGUUGCCUGCACAAGCAGAAGAGAGCAGUGUGUCACUGGAGCAAUGUUUCUGGUUUUACUCUGGGAAGGAAAAUUUAAAGUUUCUGGUGCUGAUGACUAUUUCCUGCCAGCAGGCAGCUCCAGGACUGGGAUGCUGGAUGAACUUUUCCUGUAUUUGUGUUGAGAUGUGUUCAUGCUCCUUGCACUUCUGCCACUUGUUAAUGGCAAGUAAGGCCCUAGAAAUAUGCUAUGGGUGAAGUAAAACACAGCCUGAUUACUGUUUACUCUAUCAAGAGCAGAAACACACACACUGUAACCUGGAGAAACUGUAGAUAUGGCACUUGGGGACAUGUUUAGUGGUGGAUUUGGCAACCUGAAUGAUUCUGUUAUUGUAAAUGAAAAGCAUCUUCAUAGUGGGACUGUGGCUUGCAGCAAUUCCCUGGAGAAACUUUGCCCAGAAAGCCUCUGCCUUUUUGUUUUGUUGCCUGCUUUCUAAUCACAGCAAACUGUUUUCCUUCACACAGGCUUCCUGAUUUUAUCCUGGAAAAAAAGGCCUUCCCACAAACCUGACCCUACAACCAGAGAUUAGAUGUUCACUCUCCUCUCCCUGCUGAGAACACCCUGAAGAGAUGGGCUGGAGAAAUGAUCAUGAAAGAAAUCGGUGUGGUGGAGGAGUGGGUGAGAAAGGCAGGCACAUGACUUCUAGAACAGGGGUGUUUGGCUGGUCCAAGCCCAGAAGCACAAAAAAAUACCUGACACACCUGCACAGGAAUCCAGAACCAAUUUACACAGGCAGAUUUAAGCUGGGGUUGCAGCUGGGGUUUUUUCGUCCUUAACCCCUUCCAGUGUUAACUGAGGUAACUCAUAUGGGAACCUUCAAUGCAGAAGUUACUGAAGGGGUUUGCAGGCAGAUUCUCAGGGUUUGAGUGCCAAAAAAGGCCCCCUGACACAUUAACAUGUUUUUAUUGUGGCUUUGUAAAUAUAUUUUGCAUUUUCUUUCUGCAGUGGCAAAAGGUGUACAGUUAGAUUCCCCCCCAAGCAAGAAGUGUACUUUAUCAAGCCUUGGUUUGUCAGCAAUGGCAUUGGUAAAAGCAUGCACACACAUGCACCUCUUUCUCUGUGUCUUCCCUAAACUUUGACUAGUUUUUUAUACAGUGGCUGCCUCAAGCUACUGACAAACUAACAAAAUGUGCUGGGUAUGAAAAAAACCCAUCAACUCCAAUUCAACUCAGAUUCCUUCUCCUGCUCUGAUUUCACCAUUUCUUCCUGCCCCUACCCUGGUUUUCAAGGGCACAUGCAGGGGUCAGGAUGCUUUUUUCAGACCUUUCAAGGGAAGAUGAUGUUCUUGCAUCAGACUUCACUCAGACAUAGCCUCCUCUGCCAGGGGACUGUGAGGGCAGACCCACAGCCUGUGCUGCAGAGGCAGGCCUGACAUGCAGAAAGGACCCAUCUCCUUCCUGCUGCUUUUCGAGGCUCCAAAACCUGUUGAUGAAAAGCAGACGAAAAAGUAUUACAUGCAGAAAGGGAAGGGGUUGCUUUCUGUUUACUUCUUUGUUCCCCUUUCCUAAAAAACUAUCUCCCCAGCCUUCAGGCAAUUGUCAGGGUGUGGACUCACAUGGUGAUAGACCUCAGAUGGGUUUGCAAAUACAGUGCAGAGUUUGAGGGAGAUCUCUGGUUCAAGAGCCCUCCUUGCCCCGUGGCAUGGUGGGAGGGGGUAGAAAAAGGGACAGUUUUAUUUAGUUUUCAAUAAUUAGUUUAUGUCAAAUAAUUCCAUGUUGCCAUAGUUGUGAGAGAGCAGUGAGUUUUGUUCAACAGGUGGCCUUUCUCUGCACACUCUCUGCUUACACUGGAUACUAGUUUGCCAGUUUCCUCUGUAGAGAUUAUUUAGAUCUCAUAGUGCUGACCAAACAUCCUUAAUGUGGACAAAAGGAUUUCAGGGUUUAUGCAAUCAAAUACUGUAGGGAUAUCCAGCAGUGUGAAUGCAAGCAACAGCCAAGAGCAGACCAUUCAUCACUGUCACUAGGCACUGUUUCUGUUUCACAUGCCAGUUAGAUGCUGAACUGGAAGAUGUCCAGGAUCUUGCAGGAUUGAGAUGGAGAUAGGACCAGCCCUUCUCACGGGCUUUUAUCAUGUUCAAGGUAGAGCAAGAUCAGAUACUGGGUUAUAUUGAGAGAAUUUGCUUGCAUAAAGCAACAAUUAAAUAAUGAUAAGCUUUAGGUGGAGGUUAAACGUCUUUUCUGGAGGAAAGCAUGGAUGACCUCACGCUUUGGCUUUUUUUUCUCCUGGAAAAAACAGAAAGCAAGAAUGACAAUGGAGAUUUCCAUUACUUUCCUCUGACUCUGUUGUGUAGAAGGGGUUGAAUUGGGAGGUAGAGAGUAUUGACUUGCUGGUCAAUAAGAAGCCUGUAUAGAGUCUUCCUUCCCGAAAUGCCACAUUGGAUGGAAAUAGUUUUCUGCAAGAAGCAGGCUAAGAAGGAUGGGUAAUAAAGAUGUUCAAGGCUGACAAGGCUAUCCAUGGCUCAGAAUAAGGAAGGAAGUGUAAUUAGGGAAUCCUUUGACUGAACCUAUGUGGAUUGCUUUCAGAACAGGGUAGGACAGGAUAUAUAUAAGUGAGCAAGUUUUAAACCAUCAAGCAAGGAACCUUGGUCUAUAGUAGCUAUUUUAAUCUUGUUUUGAAUUCAUAUUUGUUUGCUUUCUUUAAGGAGAAUAAAUUCUUAUUGCUUGGUAAAUACUAAAUUGCAUCUCUUAAAUAAGGUAUGGCUGCUAAUAUAAUUACAUUCUGGGUGUUUUUUGUUAAUGUUAGCCAGGAGCAGAAGAGGUCCUAGAGGAUACACAGCAUGGGAGGCCCCCAAUGCAAAAGAUAUAGAUUUGUUUGGAAACAUAGCUUUAAUAGGUUUUUUUUUUCAGAGCAGGAAAUGGUAAGUGAUCUACUCUUUUUUUGUUGUUGUUAUUAUUGUGUUUAUGUUGGAUUCUACUCCCACGGAAAGUGGAAUUAAAUGGAAAAUGAAAUACACUUAUUUUACAAAGAUGCAUUUGUGAAAAUGAUGCAGUUGAAUUGAUCUGAUUGCUCAGGUUUUCAAGAUUUUAGAUGAAUUCAUCUGAUCCUUUGGCCCCAGAGUCUAGAAGUGGGAAAAAAGGUCCUCCUGGUUCUCCAGCUCUCAGAUAUCCUCAGCCUAGAGUGAAUAAGACGGCAGACUGAGCUUAUCCACCUGCCCGAUGCCCCUGGAUCCUUACAGAAAGAAUGCUUCUGAGGAACUACUACUGCACCCACCAUGAAAGCAUGGAGAAGAAAACCUCACCCCACAGUGUCUGCUCACCAUUCUUUCUCCUCCCAUGGUGACUCCUUGUGGGUUUUAUUUGCACUCAAAAUUAAGCACAAGUCUGAGUUUGCUCUCAUAAGCAGGCUUGUCCUAUGCUCAUGGUUUAGAUCUCGAGGGCAGCCCUGGAAGGUCUCUGGAAGCAGUUGAUAGAAACUCCAUGAGGUCAGUUAAGCUGCUCACAGGCAGCACCAUGAGCCACGUGAGAUGCUGUGGGACAGCUGAGGUGCUCAGGCUGGUCUGGCAGACAUGGCACAGCACCUACAGGAGGCACAUGCCCACCUGGAGAGGCAGCCAGAGGCCAACCACACCACUGCAGGACAGCUCCAGUGUUCCAGAAGAUACAGCACACACGUGGUGCCUACAGCUCCCACGUACAGCCUGAGCUCCCAGUGCAGCCAGCUGAAACCCAGACAGUGCAGCCAGCAGCAUCUGAAAGCUGCACAUGGGACCAAAUGCUGGGGUGCAAACCAGUUGCAUCAACACAAGUAUCAAUUUUCUUUUGAGGUGUUCUCUCAUAUUUCAACUAUUCAUACAGACUGGCAAACACGAUUUGGAACUGUUAAUAGUAUCUAGGAGGACCAGUUAGACACUAGGUAGGAUAGUCAAGCAACUCUGUUUUGGCAAGCAAAUUUCUAGGUCUAAAGAGAGGCUCAUGCUCUGUGGAAUGAACAACAGAUGAUUCAAGUUUAGAACCAGCCCAAGAGCAAAGAGCUCCGACUUGGCUCCUCCUGUGUUGAGCUAUGGUGGUGCCUCAGCACACAGCGUGAAUGAGGAGCUUGUGCGUCACAAUGCUCACGAGCUAACCUCUUGCCAAGUUCUCUCCUCACCUCCUAGACAGAAGCUGCACCUCCACUUAGCCUGUGGCAACCACUGACCAAAGGGCUGGCCUUGCUGGAAUGCCAGGGAUAAGCAAGUCUUCCAACAUGAUCUGCUGAACUGAUUAAUCUCUCCACACACACCCUAUCUUCACUUCCAAGUCUCCAGAAGAGCCUUGAGGAUAUGAGGGAAAUGCAGCACUUCAAGAAAGAAUAUUUGUGCUUCCUGGGAUGACAUUUCCCUUGGAAAUAAGCAGGAGAUCACAUCCUGAAAUGUUCUCACUCCAACAGGAGCACCCAGGACCGUCUGAUGGGAGAAUGGAAGAACAAAGAAAACAUGAAAUUACAAAUUGGCUUCAGAAAGAGAAUAUAAAGUCUUCUCAUGGCUAUACAGGUCAAACCACAUAUUUCUCUGGUCUACAUGCAAGCCUGUUCAAAUGGCAGCUCUUUGACCUACAGGAAUGGGAUGCAACUCAUAACUACAAAGAGAAUACUGAGAAAACUUCUCCAAAUGAGAAAAUCGUCUGUCAGAUCUGCAUUUUCUAGAUCCCUUGGAGCAAUAAGUAGAAGCAACAACCACAUCUGAAGGGCUUUUUACCUUUUUACCAGCUCUGUACCCUCUCCUGAACUUCAACUCUUGUUAACCUCAUCAGUUCCCUGUGUGUGCUCUGCAGAAUUAAGCAACUUCGUGAAAAAUCAAACAGGGCCAUGACCCCAACAACAACAUUCCCCAGGGCUACAAAACCACAUCACCAAUUGCUAACCUUCUUCCUCUGCCACUGUCCUGCCCCAGGAUGUGCUGAGAUUCCUGUCCUGUGGUUUGUCACAUUGGGAUACGUGUCUGCUUCUGGAAAACAGGUCAUGAACAGCCAUGCUCAUGACCCUUAACUCUGCUCUUUAGCUGUGACUGCAGUAUGACACGUUUCUCAAACUUGGUCUUAAAAUCAGUUGUAAGAGGGGCUCUCCAAUUUAGAUAUUGUACUUCAGAUCCCCACAACCUUUUCCUUCAGAAAUCUUUCCCUAACAGCUAACUUUUGCUGUAAUUCAAGUACAUUGCUUCUCUUCCAACCUUCAGUGGCCCCAGAGAGUAAUUUAUUUCCCCAUUUUGGCAGGAGUCAUUUAGCUGGUGACAGUCAAGGGACAUUUCUCAUGUCUUCUUUUGCUUUUCCCUCAUCUUCCAGUCUGUACAGGGGCAUGACUUGACCUUCCAAAUUUUGGAGAGGCAAAUUUAUUGUAAUAUCUGUGGGAUCCAGCACCUCCUUGAAAUCAGAAGCUGGCGAAACAGGAGCAAGAGGAGAUCCUCCCUUGGCAGUGCCAGCAGCGCACUGCAGGGCUGAGCAAACCAUGCCCAGGGUGGGUCUGGGCUGUUUUAAGAAUAAGGAUAUUUGUCAAACUUCAGCUGGAGGAAUGCUCUGCAUAUAGGGAGUGUCAAGGAAGAAGACACAAAGUCCAGGCAUGAAUCAAAAAUGGACUGAAAGGCAAAGGGAAAUCAAACUACUGAGGUGGGAGCGGUGUGAAGCUUUGCUGCCGACAGCCCUGGGGAAGAGGGAGAGCAGGGCAUGUCAAGGCAUGGAGGCAGCAUCCAUGUCACCUGCUACUGCAUGUCUACAAAACAACUAUUUACAUCUGAUCCAUUUGGAUCCCCGCUGAGUCAAUGCAAAGGAAUACACAGCACAUUUGAAAUGUCUGCC
Molecule: long non-coding RNA, 7406 nt
Organism: Passer domesticus (house sparrow)
Lineage: Eukaryota; Metazoa; Chordata; Aves; Passeriformes; Passeridae
Exons: 8
Source: RefSeq, a predicted model, not a curated record